Molecule: ribosomal RNA, 754 nt
Filed under: uncultured Pacispora
Lineage: Eukaryota; Fungi; Glomeromycota; Glomeromycetes; Diversisporales; Pacisporaceae
Description: SSU rRNA
Rfam family: Eukaryotic small subunit ribosomal RNA
Source: RNAcentral
GCCUACCAUGGUUUUAACGGGUAACGGGGAAUUAGGGUUCGAUUCCGGAGAGGGAGCCUGAGAAACGGCUACCACAUCCAAGGAAGGCAGCAGGCGCGCAAAUUACCCAAUCCCGAUACGGGGAGGUAGUGACAAUAAAUAACAAUACAGGGCUCUUAUGGGUCUUGUAAUUGGAAUGAGUACAAUUUAAAUCUCUUAACGAGGAACAAUUGGAGGGCAAGUCUGGUGCCAGCAGCCGCGGUAAUUCCAGCUCCAAUAGCGUAUAUUAAAGUUGUUGCAGUUAAAAAGCUCGUAGUUGAAUUUCGAAAUUUUUUUAUCGGUUGGAUCAACAGGUUCGUACUGAUUUUAAGAAUUUCUACCUUCUGGAGAACCUUAAUGUCAUUUAUUUGAUGUUUUGGGAAGCCAGGACUGUUACCUUGAAAAAAUUAGAGUGUUUAAAGCAGGCUUAUGUCUGAAUAUAUUAGCAUGGAAUAAUGAAAUAGGACGGCAUGGUUCUAUUUUGUUGGUUUCUAGGAUCACCGUAAUGAUUAAUAGGGAUAGUUGGGGGCAUUAGUAUUCAAUUGUCAGAGGUGAAAUUCUUGGAUUUAUUGAAGACUAACUUCUGCGAAAGCAUUUGCCAAGGAUGUUUUCAUUAAUCAAGAACGAGAGUUAGGGGAUCGAAGACGAUCAGAUACCGUCGUAGUCUUAACCAUAAACUAUGCCGACUAGGAAUCGGACGAAGUUAAUUUUUUAAUGACUCGUUCGGCGCCUUACG